This 438-nucleotide ribosomal RNA is filed under the name uncultured bacterium. RNAcentral's name for it is "partial 16S ribosomal RNA". It matches the Rfam family "Bacterial small subunit ribosomal RNA", at positions 339 to 795 of the family's 1533-position model. The record is from RNAcentral.
CUACGGGGUGCACCAGUGAGGAAUAUUGCACAAUGGGGGGAACCCUGAUGCAGCAACGCCGCGUGGAGGAUGACGCAUUUCGGUGUGUAAACUCCUUUUAUAUGUCAAGAAAAUGACGGUAGCAUAUGAAUAAGCACCGGCUAACUCCGUGCCAGCAGCCGCGGUAAUACGGAGGGUGCAAGGCGUUACUCGGAAUCACUGGGCGUAAAGGACGCGUAGGCGGGUUGGAAAGUCAGGUGUGAAAUCCUACAGCUUAACUGUAGAACUGCACUUGAAACUUCUAAUCUGAGUAUGGGAGGGGGGGAUGGAAUUAUGGGUGUAGGGGUAAAAUCCGUAGAUAUCACUAGGAAUCCCUAAGCGAAGGCGAUCUCCUGGAACAUUACUGACGCUAAGGCGUGAAAGCGUGGGGAGCAAACAGGAUUAGAUACCCCAGUAGUC